GCCCGUGUGGUUCCACGCGUGUCCCUCGCGUGUCCACGUGGCCCAACGCACAUCCCCCGUGGCCGUGUGUGUCCACACGCGUGUCACUAGCACAACUGCCCUUAGUGUGUGUGUGCGUGUCUGCAUGCAUGUGCCUAGCGUGUCUGUGUGGCUGCGCACACGUCCUGAGCGUGCCUGUGGCCGAACGUGUGUUGCUGGCGUGCUCGUUUGUCUGCACGUGUCCCUAGCAUGUCCUCGUGGCCACACAUGUCCCUAGCGUGUCCGUGUGGCUGCACACAUGUCCCUUGUGUGGCUGUGCAGCUGUACGCGUGUCCUUGGGGUGUCCAUGGCUGCACACAUGUCCCUAGCGUGUCUGUGUGGCUGCACACAUGUCCCUUGCGUGGCCGUGCAGCUGUACGCGUGUCCUUGGCGUGCCCGUGUGGCUGCACACCCGUCCCUGGCCCAUCUGCAGCUGCGCAAGACCCCGGUGCACGCGUCUCCCUUGGCACACGCAUGUCCCUGCCGUGUCCCCACCCACGUGCGUGUCCCACCCCAUCCCCAGCGUGGCUCCCGCGUGUCCCCAUCCCGUCCCUGCCUCGUCCCCCGCCCUGCCCGCCACCUCCCCGUCCCCGCACCCCCCCGGGGCGCCCCAGCGCGUCCCCAGCGCGUCCCCGACGGGGCGCGGGGGUGCAGGGCUGGGCCGCCACGACGAGCCCCAGCCUGCCCCGACGCGCCGGCGGGACGGGCAGCGCCGUUCCCAGGCCCAGCCCUGCGCCCGUGCCGGCCCCACGGGUGACGCCGGCCCCACGGGUGACGCGGGCCCCACGGGUGACGCUGGCCCCACGGGGUGACGCCAGCCAGGAAGCGCGGCGAGGCGCAGCGGGGCCGGAUGGGGCCGGGGGACGCGCGGCGGGGACGCGCCCCGGGUCGAGCCAUGGCCCCGGGGACCCGGCGCUGAGGGCGGGGGGCUGCCAUGGGCCCCCCCCGGCAGCAGGUGCUGGCCGCCAUCCGCGCCGAGGUGAAGCGGCACGAGGGGGCCAAGCAGCACGUCAACAAGCUGAUCCGGCUGGUGGAGACCGUGCCGGACCCACGGCUGCGCGCCAGCCUCACCGCGUCGCUCAGCGUCGUGCAAGGUACCGGGGGGGACGGGAACGGCACCGGGAACUGGGAACUGGCACCGGGAACUGGGCACCGGCACCGGGAACUGGGAACCGGCACCGGGAACUGGGCACCGGGCCCAGAGGCCGUGGUGGCGUCUGGAGGUUGGGAAGGGGACGGACGGAUGGAGAGAGGGAAGGAUGGGCGAUGGGGGGAUGGACAAUGGAUGGACGGACAGACAGUGGGAAGGCUGGCUGGAUGGACGGACGGAUGGAUGGACAGNNNNNNNNNNNNNNNNNNNNNNNNNNNNNNNNNNNNNNNNNNNNNNNNNNNNNNNNNNNNNNNNNNNN
RNAcentral lists this long non-coding RNA (1427 nucleotides) under Anser brachyrhynchus (Pink-footed goose). RNAcentral describes it as "lncRNA (ENSABRG00000021459.1)". Lineage: Eukaryota; Metazoa; Chordata; Aves; Anseriformes; Anatidae. The record is from RNAcentral.